GGGCGACCCAGAGGAGGGGGAAGAUGCCGCCGGCCACGGGCGGAGGCCUGGCAGAGUCCGAGCUGCGUCCCCGGAGGGGCCGCUGUGGCCCCCAGGCUGCUAGGGCCGCAGGCCGGGACGUGGCCGCUGAGGCUGUGGCGCGAAGCCCCAAACGGCCUGCUUGGGGCUCACGGCGCUUCGAGGCGGCCGGCUGGUGGGCCCUGCUGGCCUUGGUGACGCUGCUGUCCUUCGCCACCCGCUUCCACCGCUUGGACGAGCCGCCGCACAUCUGUUGGGAUGAGACUCACUUUGGAAAAAUGGGAAGUUACUAUAUCAACCGUACAUUUUUCUUUGAUGUGCACCCGCCCCUGGGAAAGAUGCUGAUAGGUCUUGCUGGCUACCUGAGUGGAUAUGAUGGUACCUUUUUGUUCCAGAAGCCUGGGGAUAAAUAUGAGCAUCACAGCUACAUGGGAAUGAGAGGAUUCUGUGCAUUCCUCGGCUCCUGGCUGGUCCCCUUUGCCUACCUCACUGUACUGGAUCUGUCCAAGUCCCUCUCGGCAGCACUGCUCACAGCUGCCCUCCUCACCUUUGACACGGGAUGCCUCACUCUGUCCCAGUACAUCCUCCUUGACCCCAUCCUGAUGUUCUUCAUCAUGGCUGCCAUGCUGAGCAUGGUCAAGUACAACUCUUGCGCCGACAGGCCCUUCUCUGCCCCCUGGUGGUUCUGGCUCAGCCUGACUGGCGUUAGUCUUGCUGGUGCUUUAGGGGUCAAGUUUGUCGGCCUCUUUAUCAUCCUUCAAGUGGGGCUGAACACCAUUGCAGACCUUUGGUACCUGUUCGGAGACCUCAGUCUUUCAUUGGUGACUGUGGGAAAACACCUGACUGCUCGUGUCCUGUGCCUCAUAGUGCUGCCCCUGGCUCUCUAUACAGCCACCUUUGCUGUUCACUUCAUGGUGCUGAGUAAAAGUGGCCCUGGUGACGGUUUCUUCAGUUCUGCCUUCCAGGCCCGGCUUUCAGGGAACAACCUGCACAAUGCUUCCAUCCCUGAACACCUGGCCUACGGCUCUGUGAUCACUGUGAAGAACCUUCGGAUGGCCAUCGGCUAUCUGCACUCCCACAGGCACCUCUAUCCCGAGGGCAUUGGUGCCCGUCAGCAGCAGGUUACCACCUAUUUGCACAAGGACUACAACAACCUGUGGAUUAUCAAGAAACAUAACACAAACUCAGAUCCCCUAGACCCUUCCUUCCCAGUGGAGUUUGUAAGACAUGGAGACAUUAUUCGACUAGAACACAAAGAAACUUCCCGGAACUUGCACAGUCACUAUCAUGAGGCCCCCAUGACCCGGAAGCACUAUCAGGUCACCGGCUAUGGCAUAAAUGGAACAGGGGACUCAAAUGAUUUCUGGCGGAUUGAGGUCGUAAACAGAAAAUUUGGAAACCGGAUCAAAGUGCUGAGAAGUCGAAUUCGCUUCAUCCAUUUGGUCACAGGUUGUGUCCUGGGCUCCUCGGGAAAGGUUCUGCCCAAGUGGGGCUGGGAGCAGUUGGAAGUUACUUGCACCCCAUACCUGAAAGAAACCCUCAACUCCAUCUGGAAUGUGGAGGACCAUAUCAAUCCCAAGUUGCCAAACAUCAGCCUGGAUGUGCUGCAGCCCAGUUUUCCUGAGAUCUUGCUGGAAUCCCACAUGGUCAUGAUCCGGGGGAACAGUGGCCUCAAACCCAAGGACAAUGAGUUCACGUCCAAACCCUGGCACUGGCCUAUCAACUAUCAGGGCCUACGCUUCUCAGGGGUCAAUGACACAGAUUUCCGAGUCUAUCUGCUUGGCAACCCGGUGGUUUGGUGGCUGAAUCUGUUGAGCAUCGCCCUCUACCUCCUCUCAGGGAGCAUCAUUGCUGUAGCCAUGCAGAGAGGGGCACGGCUGCCAGCGGAGGUUGCAGGUCAGGUCCUCUGGGCUCUCCCUCCCCUGACCUGGCGGCAGCAGGGCGCCUGCACCCCUGGAGAGGGCCGGCUGCCUGCUGACGGGCCAUCCUUUGCGUUUACCACCCCACACCUUCCCUUAUCCUUUGCUUUUGAAAGGUAACAACCCCCAAGUACCCAGUGCUGUGUUAAACACUUUACUUCCUCCCAACAACACUAGAGCGUUGGCUAUUAUGACCCCCAUUUUAUGGAUUAGGAAACCAAGGAACCAUGAGAUUAGGAAACUUGCCCCAGGACAUACAGCUAGUAAGUGAUAGAGCUGAGGCUCAAACCCGUGCAGUCUGACUCCACAGCCCUCACUUUUAGCCCCAUGCUGUGUACAGAGCUGCCCAUCUUUUCUGCCACCUCCUUGUUCCAUGGCCCUGUCCUCUCAUGGGCUAGAGAGGAGCCUCCAGGGUUAUUGGGUUCCCAUCCCAGUGCUGUUCUUGGUAACUUUGGCUGCCAGACCAUGGGCCACAGCACCUGAGACAGUCACACAGGCCCUUUUGCCUCUGCAGCUCUCUGUCUGAACAGUCAUAGUCCCAGACACCUCCUCACUCCAUCCUCACCUGUGACCUCACCUUAGCGCCUGUCUGCCGCUGCAAAGAUCUGUGUGGCAGCAAAGAUGUGGGAGGUGGAAAUAGGGAGCGAAGCUGUCUGCAGGCGCAGAGGGGUUUCUUUAGAGGCUGGGCUGCCUCCUGCUGGUGCUUGGUGCACCUGCCUUUGGUGCCCAGGCCUCACUAGGCUGGGCCCUGACCAGAGCUCUCGAGCCCCAGCUGCUCCUCUCCAGUUUCUGUAGCGUGGUUUGGGUUGCUCCAAUGAGGUGAAUGACAUAUUCAAGGUCACACAGCAAGGAAGGGGCAGAGCUGGACCACAGCCUGGAAUCUCUGCCCGCUCCUUGUCUUCUGACUGGGCUGUGCUGCUUGGGCCCAGGGUUGUCCCAGGUCCUGCUGCGAGGAGGCGGCCAGGUCCUGCUCGGCUGGACACUCCAUUACUUCCCGUUUUUCCUGAUGGGCCGGGUCCUCUACUUCCACCACUACUUCCCAGCCAUGCUUUUCUCAAGCAUGUUGACAGGCAUUCUGUGGGACACCCUCCUGCGGCUCUGUGCCUGGGGCUUGGCCUCAUGGCCCCUGGCGAGGGGCAUACAUGUGGCGGGAAUCCUGAGCCUGCUCCUGGGAACCGCCUACAGCUUCUACCUCUUCCACCCUCUGGCUUACGGGAUGGUUGGUCCCCUGGCCCAGGACCCCCAAAGUCCAAUGGCAGGACUAAGGUGGCUGGACUCAUGGGACUUUUGAGGCCACUGCAAAGAUUCCAGCCUGGGUCCAGGAACUUCCCAGGAGAGCCAGCUGGGAAGCAGUACUGGACCAUCCGGCCAUGAGGAAGCUGCCUAAGGAGCCCGAAGAAUUCUGCUGCCCACCAGGACCCAGCUCUGGGAGUGCAGCUGGAAUGGAACCCAGCAUUGGAGAGAGCCGGGAGAGAGCCGCAGCUCCGUCCACAGCACCACAGAGAGGACAGAGCCUCUUGGGCUGCUCCCUCAUGCACAGCGCAGGGGAGGAUGGGUGCCAGAGGGUGGGAGUGGGUGCGCGUGUGUGUAUGUGAGGGCAUGUUGUCCAUAUCCCUGUGGAAUACAGACCGUGUAACUGGACAGCUGAGUGUCGUAAACUCUAAAAUAGUCCAGGCUAUAGUAAUAUUUUCUGGUAUUUUUUUCUGUUGGAUUUCUUUGGUUUUGGUUUGUAAGAUCCAUCAAAAAUUCUCAGACCUCUGAGAGGGCCUUGAGGGCAGAGAAUACUGACCUCACCUUGGGAUGUCACCAAAGGCAGAGCAGAUGGGACUGUCAAAGUUGUGCUGCCCUCCCUCCCACAAACAAAUGAAUCCAGCGUGGAGGAAGGCGCGCCGCCCAGAGCUGGAGGGCCUGGCUCCCACCACACCCCCCAGUGGCUGCAGGUAGCUGGACUUCCUGCCUGUGACGCACAGAGAGCAGCGGACUCCGGAGCGUCAGCCUGCCUUAGCCCUUGGUUCCUCGUUUUUUGGGAUUGUCACACUGUGAGACUCGGGAGGAACGAUGUCCUAUCCUGGGCUGCUCAGUGUUCCCAGGCCCUGUGUGCCAGAGGCCAGGUCUCUCCAAGUGCAUCUAGCCUGGCCUGGAGGGCAAGGCAGAUGCAUUCUCCUGGCUGCUGGGAGAGCCCAUGGGAACCUUGCUUAGCGCCCAAGGUAGAUGAGAUACAGGGCAGGGAAUCUGCAUGGUGCUGGGGUGUGGGGACUCUGGCCUCUCCAGACUAAUGUUCCUGUCACCUGCUGAGCUUUCCCAGUGUCACUUCUGCAGUCCUCCUCUGGUCACCCCUCCCUCACUCCGUGGGCAAUUCCCUUUCUCUGUGUCACUGCUUCAGCAGUGAAGACCCAUGGCACCUAGAAAUGCAUGCCAGCUUCCUGCGUCUACCACUCUGCAGCUCAAACAAGAAGCUCAGAGCUGCCCCUUCCACUUCCUCCCCAGAAGGGAUGAAGAAAACCCUGUGGUAGAACCAAACCACCCAAGGCCAGCCCUUAAGCCUGCCUCCACCUUCCUGGUGCAUGACAAAAUAUUUCUUUUGUCUCAGAGGACUUUGAUGCUUCAAGAUUUAAUGAUGAAUCCGCCACACUCCAUUUUCCCUCCUCUGAAGCUCCCAACAACUCUGACAGGGUCAGAUCUCUUUAAAGCAUCUUCAGGAGGCGGUUGCCACGGAGACUGGAUAUUGGUCCCAGGGACAGGCUGUGCUACCUACUGGGUGGUGGGGAGGGAAGCUUCUGGCCAUGCUUGGACAUUCAGACCAACCAUCAUUAAUGUUAAUAGAGGAAAUGCAGCAACGUCAAAAGCAAGGCAGGUUGGUUAAUUAGAUCUGGGGCCCGAUGACCUCCCUUUCCCACUGCUACAGCCCUUUUGACUUCCCCCAGCAGGAAGCGCUGUCUGUGCGGCUGAGUCUGGGCCGCUUGCUUAAUUGCAUUUCUGGCAGGGAAGGAGAGGAGGGAUGGAGCAGCUCUGCUCCCUGCUUCCACCUCACCAUGUGUCCUCCCCUCCCCUCCCUUCCUCUCCUCCCCACAGGCAGAAUUGCUUUCUUCUGAGCCGGGUGGGCUCUCCUGCAGGGAGAAUGCAGGGGUCUGUGCUUGGCUUUUAGCGAAGCAGGCGGCCCAUAGUGACCUCCAGGAGGUGGCUGAUUUUCCUUUGUGCCUUCUUAUUUCUCAGUAGGAACUUGGAAGGGAAGAGCUCUGAAGGAGCCAGAGGGGCAGCCACCUUGCAUGAGGGUGAGGAAGGAGAAGCCCAGCCAGCCUCUACCCAUCCCUCCCUCCCAAUUAGGCUGCACUGGGGCCGAACGCUUCCCCGGGCUCCCACUGCCUUCUAAGGAGCCAAGGAGAAUUCCCUGCCCACUUUCUGUUCCUCCAUGCCCAAACUGGCAGAUGCUUCUCUGGGGGCAAGGCCACAUGGGGUGAUGCAGCUUUGAGUGCUCAGGUUCUGUUUUCUGGAAGAUGCUGGAGAAAGGCUGUCAGGGUGCUUCUAUGAAUAUGGGCUUCAGCUGUAGCACUUGGCAGAAACGCGAUGUGUCCCACAAACUGCUGGUGGAGGAAGAAGACGUUCGUCAGCCAAUUCAACCUCCAGCCAGCUUCUUGAGCCUAUUUGGUUUAAAAAAAAAAAAAAAAAAAGUCUUCUAAUCAGAAGCCGCUGAUUUUAUAAUAAAUAACACUUGUUUUG
This 5654-nucleotide small RNA is filed under the name Pan troglodytes (chimpanzee). Its description in RNAcentral is "retained intron". The record is from RNAcentral. Lineage: Eukaryota; Metazoa; Chordata; Mammalia; Primates; Hominidae.